GACGAACGCUGGCGGCGUGCUUAACACAUGCAAGUCGAACGUGAUUUUUGUGGAAAUUCUUUCGGGAAUGGAAGUGAAAUGAAAGUGGCGAACGGGUGAGUAACACGUGAGCAACCUACCUUACACAGGGGGAUAGCCGUUGGAAACGACGAUUAAUACCGCAUGAGACCACAGAAUCGCAUGAUAUAGGGGUCAAAGAUUUAUCGGUGUAAGAAGGGCUCGCGUCUGAUUAGCUAGUUGGAAGGGUAAAGGCCUACCAAGGCGACGAUCAGUAGCCGGUCUGAGAGGAUGAACGGCCACAUUGGAACUGAGACACGGUCCAAACUCCUACGGGAGGCAGCAGUGGGGAAUAUUGCACAAUGGGGGGAACCCUGAUGCAGCGACGCCGCGUGAGCGAAGAAGGUUUUCGAAUCGUAAAGCUCUGUCCUAUGAGAAGAUAAUGACGGUAUCAUAGGAGGAAGCCCCGGCUAAAUACGUGCCAGCAGCCGCGGUAAUACGUAUGGGGCGAGCGUUGUCCGGAAUUAUUGGGCGUAAAGGGUACGUAGGCGGUUUUUUAAGUCAGGUGUGAAAGCGUGAGGCUUAACCUCAUUAAGCACUUGAAACUGGAAGACUUGAGUGAAGGAGGGGAAAGUGGAAUUCCUAGUGUAGCGGUGAAAUGCGUAGAUAUUAGGAGGAAUACCGGUGGCGAAGGCGACUUUCUGGACUUUUACUGACGCUCAGGUACGAAAGCGUGGGGAGCAAACAGG
This 746-nucleotide ribosomal RNA is filed under the name uncultured Parvimonas sp. Its description in RNAcentral is "bacterial SSU rRNA". It matches the Rfam family "Bacterial small subunit ribosomal RNA", at positions 28 to 776 of the family's 1533-position model. The record is from RNAcentral. Lineage: Bacteria; Bacillati; Bacillota; Tissierellia; Tissierellales; Peptoniphilaceae.